AGCAACAAAUGCCCUGCUUCCAGGAAAAGCCUCUAAGCAUCAGGUAACAUCAAAUCGUACCCCAAACCGACACAGGUGGUCAGGUAGAGAAUACCAAGGCGCUUGAGAGAACUCGGGUGAAGGAACUAGGCAAAAUGGUGCCGUAACUUCGGGAGAAGGCACGCUGACACGUAGGUGAAGUGAUUUACUCAUGGAGCUGAAGUCAGUCGAAGAUACCAGCUGGCUGCAACUGUUUAUUAAAAACACAGCACUGUGCAAACACGAAAGUGGACGUAUACGGUGUGACGCCUGCCCGGUGCCGGAAGGUUAAUUGAUGGGGUCAGCGCAAGCGAAGCUCCUGAUCGAAGCCCCGGUAAACGGCGGCCGUAACUAUAACGGUCCUAAGGUAGCGAAAUUCCUUGUCGGGUAAGUUCCGACCUGCACGAAUGGCGUAAUGAUGGCCAGGCUGUCUCCACCCGAGACUCAGUGAAAUUGAACUCGCUGUGAAGAUGCAGUGUACCCGCGGCAAGACGGAAAGACCCCGUGAACCUUUACUAUAGCUUGACACUGAACAUUGAGCCUUGAUGUGUAGGAUAGGUGGGAGGCUUUGAAGCGUGGACGCCAGUCUGCGUGGAGCCGACCUUGAAAUACCACCCUUUAAUGUUUGAUGUUCUAACGUGGACCCGUAAUCCGGGUUGCGGACAGUGUCUGGUGGGUAGUUUGACUGGGGCGGUCUCCUCCUAAAGAGUAACGGAGGAGCACGAAGGUUGGCUAAUCCUGGUCGGACAUCAGGAGGUUAGUGCAAUGGCAUAAGCCAGCUUGACUGCGAGCGUGACGGCGCGAGCAGGUGCGAAAGCAGGUCAUAGUGAUCCGGUGGUUCUGAAUGGAAGGGCCAUCGCUCAACGGAUAAAAGGUACUCCGGGGAUAACAGGCUGAUACCGCCCAAGAGUUCAUAUCGACGGCGGUGUUUGGCACCUCGAUGUCGGCUCAUCACAUCCUGGGGCUGAAGUAGGUCCCAAGGGUAUGGCUGUUCGCCAUUUAAAGUGGUACGCGAGCUGGGUUUAGAACGUCGUGAGACAGUUCGGUCCCUAUCUGCCGUGGGCGCUGGAAGACUGAGGGGGGCUGCUCCUAGUACGAGAGGACCGGAGUGGACGCAUCACUGGUGUUCGGGUUGUCAUGCCAAUGGCACUGCCCGGUAGCUAAAUGCGGAAAAGAUAAGUGCUGAAAGCAUCUAAGCACGAAACUUGCCCCGAGAUGAGUCUUCCCUGAGACUUUGAGUCUCCUGAAGGAACGUUAAAGACGAUGACGUUGAUAGGCC
RNAcentral lists this ribosomal RNA (1297 nucleotides) under Salmonella enterica subsp. diarizonae. RNAcentral describes it as "partial 23S ribosomal RNA". It matches the Rfam family "Bacterial large subunit ribosomal RNA", at positions 1589 to 2862 of the family's 2925-position model. The record is from RNAcentral. Lineage: Bacteria; Pseudomonadati; Pseudomonadota; Gammaproteobacteria; Enterobacterales; Enterobacteriaceae.